RNAcentral lists this non-coding RNA (28 nucleotides) under Rattus norvegicus (Norway rat). The record is from RNAcentral. Lineage: Eukaryota; Metazoa; Chordata; Mammalia; Rodentia; Muridae.
UGAUGGUUAGUGUUCACUCCUGGGUCAC